GGUGGCUCAGUGGGAGAGUGCUUGCCUUGCAUGCAUGAGGCCCUGGGUUCGAUUCCUCAGCACCA
This is a non-coding RNA of Dipodomys ordii (Ord's kangaroo rat), 65 nucleotides long. The record is from Rfam. NCBI's taxonomy places the organism in Eukaryota, Metazoa, Chordata, Mammalia, Rodentia, Heteromyidae.